Cervus elaphus (red deer) is the source of this 1150-nucleotide long non-coding RNA. RefSeq lists it as uncharacterized. The transcript has 3 exons. NCBI's taxonomy places the organism in Eukaryota, Metazoa, Chordata, Mammalia, Artiodactyla, Cervidae. The record is from RefSeq and is a predicted model, not a curated record.
GUGAGGUUUUAAGUUGCUGAGAAUUAAUUACCUAGUGCCGUAAUUAUUUCCUCUUGUUUAGGUUUCUGUCAUUCAGGGCCUCUCUGGAGAGCCUCUUCCAGAAGAGCCAAAGAGGAUAGCUCCGGGAAAGAGGGGUGACCGCCGCGCUAAUAUGGAUUUACUGUGCUAACUGUGGAGGGGGGCGGUGGGGGGGGGGGGUAGGGUGCUGCCCUCCCACCGAGUGGGGGCUUCUCGGAGCCGACAGGGGCUGAUCGAGUAUCCCCACAGCCUACUAACCGCAAGUCCAUUACGAGGCGGGCGAAGCUUUUUCACCCUACCAAUUGGGGCUUGAAUUCAGUACUGAUUCCCAGGCUACUUCCUGCACGCCCAGAAUCAGGAUCUACACUGGAGUCACUUGGAAAUCUGUAUUGUUAACAAGAAUGCCAGAUACAAUAUUUGAUAUGGGCGAUACUAUACGUAACAUGUGAGAUACAAAGAAUACUUGUGGACCCAACAGCCAGUUUAAGAAAGCAUCACCAGGACCUAUUCAACCACUGUCCCAGUCAGAGCAUUCAAGAAGUCGAAGUGAGGUGUGAAAUUCUGGAUAUCCUUGGGUCUUCCGGUUGGAGCCAUGAUCAACUGUGCUGACCACACAGGAGCCAAAAAUCUGUAUAUCAUCUCUGUGAAGGCAAUCAAUGAAUGACUGAACAGACUUCCUGCUGCUGGUGUGGGUGACAUGGUGAUGGCCACAAUCAAGAAAGGCAAAUCAGAGCUGAGAAAGAACGUACAUCCAGUGAUGGUAAUUUGACAAUGAAACUUAUACUGGAGAAAAGAUGGUGUGUUUCUUUAUUUUGAAGAUAAUGCAGGGGUCAGAGUAAACAAUCCCUGGAGGAGGAAAUGGCAUUCCACUCCAGUAUCCUGUCCGUGUACGGACAGAGGAGCUUGGCGGGCUACAGUUCAUGUGGUCACAAAUAGUCUGACACGACUGAGCAACUGAGCACAUAGUAAACAGUAAAGGCAAGAUGAAGGGUUCUGCUGUUACAGGAUCAGUUGCAAAGGAGUGUGCAGACCUGUGGCCCAGGAUUGCAUCCAGUGCUGGCAGCAUUGCAUUCUUCUUCGAUGUAUUUGUAAAAAAGAUGUAAAAUAAAAAUUAUUUUCUCCCCCUCCCAAA